AUGGUUUUAGCUGGCUAUUCAUCUUUCUCCUUUUCAUUUCUUCGUUGGCUCAUCUUUCUAAUUAGUUCCUUUGAAUUUAUUGUGUUUUGCAGAGAGUUUGGCCCAAUGCAAAGCCAUAGCAAACUGCGUAUUGCCUCUGCAUCCGCACAACCUGUUGUGCCCGGGCUCCAUGGUUGGGCAGACCUCCCAGAUGGUCCACUAAGCUCCAUUCUUGCACUGUCAGGGUCCUUCCGUGAUGUUCUUGCCUUCGCGGCAACAUGCCGCUCUUGGCGUGCUGCAUUCUCCUCAUACCCAAACAAAUCUGCCUUCUGCACCAGAUUCCCACCUCUCCUCGUCCAAUUCAAUGUCUGUGUUCAAGCUCCUGAUCUCCCGUCUAACAAGGGUCGUCACGAGCUACGCACAUGUAAGGUCAUUGAUCCAAUCAACAAGAACAUUGCCCUUCGCUGCCAGAUUCCUCAAGAAAUUUAUCAGGAGAUGCAUUUUGCUGGCACUUCCUAUGGUCAACUAAUUUGCGGCCGUGCUGGAUAUUGUCUUGUUGUUGAUGUGUUCAGUGGUGCCGUGGUUUGUCCCCCACGUCUCCCAUUCAGCGGUGAUUUUGAGUUUGGGAGGGAGUUCUACUUCAGUGGCACUUUGACGGCUCCCAUUGCAUCACCCAACUCACACCUCCUUGUCAGUACUGCAAUCUCCCUGUUUGAUUGGCCGGUCAGAAGUGACUCUUGGUCUGAACUCCAGCUUUCUGAUGAAUCGAUAGAACAGCUUGUGGAAUUCAAUGGUCAGUUCAUCGCCAUGGAUGAUUGUUAUAAGAUCUACGCUUUGCAGCUGUCCCCCCAGCUUGGUCUGCAGGAGAUAACAACUGAGUGGGUCGGUCACCUGCCCCCAACCUCGUACACGAAACCAUAG
RNAcentral lists this ribosomal RNA (900 nucleotides) under Triticum aestivum (bread wheat). Its description in RNAcentral is "partial small subunit ribosomal RNA". Lineage: Eukaryota; Viridiplantae; Streptophyta; Magnoliopsida; Poales; Poaceae. The record is from RNAcentral.